This 112-nucleotide ribosomal RNA is filed under the name uncultured eukaryote. RNAcentral's name for it is "partial small subunit ribosomal RNA". It matches the Rfam family "Bacterial small subunit ribosomal RNA", at positions 1416 to 1525 of the family's 1533-position model. The record is from RNAcentral.
AACACCCGAAGCCAGUGGCCCAACCCCUUGGGGAGGGAGCUGUCGAAGGUGGGGUCGGCGAUUGGGGUGAAGUCGUAACAAGGUAGCCGUAGGUGAACCUGCAGAAGGAUCA